Molecule: ribosomal RNA, 405 nt
Filed under: uncultured bacterium
Lineage: Bacteria
Description: partial 16S ribosomal RNA
Rfam family: Bacterial small subunit ribosomal RNA
Source: RNAcentral
AUUGAACGCUAGCGGGAUGCUUUAUACAUGCAAGUCGAACGAGUGGCGGACGGGUGAGUAAUAUAUCUGAACGUGCUCAGUAGCGGGGGAUAACUACUCGAAAGAGUGGCUAAUACCGCAUACUAUUGGCGUGGCCGAUAUCGGAUUAGCUAGUUGGUGGGGUAAAGGCUCACCAAGGCAACGAUCCGUAGCUGGUUUGAGAGGUCGACCAGCCACACUGGGACUGAGACACGGCCCAGACGCCUACGGGAGGCAGCAGUGGGGAAUUUUGGACAAUGGGGGAAACCCUGAUGCAGCCAUCCCGCGUGUAUGAGAAGGCCUUCGGAUUGUAAAAUACUUUUAGCAGGGAAGCGGUAUCUGAAGAGUAAGCACCGGCUAACUACGUGCCAGCAGCCGCGGUAAUUC